CCCUUAGAUGUUCUGGGCCGCACGCGCGCUACACUGAUGCAUUCAACGAGCCUAUCCUUGACCGACAGGUCCGGGUAAUCUUUGAAUCUGCAUCGUGACGGGGAUAGAUUAUUGCAAUUAUUAAUCUUCAACGAGGAAUGCCUAGUAGGUGCAAGUCAUCAGCUUGCGUCGAUUACGUCCCUGCCCUUUGUACACACCGCCCGUCGCUCCUACCGAUUGGGUGUGCUGGUGAAAUGUUCGGAUCGGCCGUUUGUCGCGGUUUCCGCGUCAUGUGGCUGAGAAGUUCAUUAAACCCUCCCACCUAGAGGAAGGAGAAGUCGUAACA
This 325-nucleotide ribosomal RNA is filed under the name uncultured eukaryote. RNAcentral describes it as "partial 18S ribosomal RNA". It matches the Rfam family "Eukaryotic small subunit ribosomal RNA", at positions 1470 to 1796 of the family's 1831-position model. The record is from RNAcentral.